Molecule: unclassified non-coding RNA, 288 nt
Organism: Marmota marmota marmota (Alpine marmot)
Lineage: Eukaryota; Metazoa; Chordata; Mammalia; Rodentia; Sciuridae
Gene: 7SK
Rfam family: 7SK RNA
About the family: 7SK was discovered as an abundant small nuclear RNA in the mid-70s but a possible function has only recently been suggested. Two independent studies have found that 7SK RNA binds the CDK9/cyclin T complex (known as elongation factor P-TEFb).
Source: Ensembl
GGAUGUUAGGGUGAUCUGGCUGAGACAGCUAUCACCUGAUCACCAGGGUUGAUUCCGCUGAUCCGGCUGACUAGGCAAGUGGCUCCUUCCUUCCUCACCACUCCCGUGUGUCCCUUCUGAAGUUGCAUGCUUAUUGGAAGAGGGCCUGACCUUCUCUAAUAGAGGAGGCCAAUUCUUUUGGUCAAGGGUAUAUGAGUAGCUUCAUUCCCCUGCUAGAACUUCCAAAUGAGCUCUCAGGAAGAAGGAAAGAAGCUGAGUUUGGUUCUAUAACCUGCAAUCCCAGGGACU